RNAcentral lists this ribosomal RNA (312 nucleotides) under Triticum aestivum (bread wheat). RNAcentral's name for it is "partial small subunit ribosomal RNA". The record is from RNAcentral. Lineage: Eukaryota; Viridiplantae; Streptophyta; Magnoliopsida; Poales; Poaceae.
AUGGACCUUGAUUAUGCACUUAGGGAAAAAGCUUCGGUUCCUUUGUCCUCUGAUGAUGAGAACCUUGCUGAGAAAACUAAGGUUUAUGAGGCUAAUAAGGAGAAGUGGGAGCGCUCCAAUCGCUUGUCUCUCAUGAUCAUGAAAAGCACAAUUACUCUUGGGAUUAGGGGAGCAAUCCUUGAUUCUGAAUGUGCUAAUACUUAUCUAGCGUCGCUGGAUGAGCAAUUUAAAGGAUCAACAAAAGUUUAUGCUAGUAUGUUGAUCAUGAAAAUGCUCACCACUAAGUAUGAUGGUAAAAGCGGCGUGAGAUAA